This 352-nucleotide ribosomal RNA is filed under the name uncultured Bradyrhizobium sp. RNAcentral describes it as "bacterial SSU rRNA". It matches the Rfam family "Bacterial small subunit ribosomal RNA", at positions 475 to 826 of the family's 1533-position model. The record is from RNAcentral. Lineage: Bacteria; Pseudomonadati; Pseudomonadota; Alphaproteobacteria; Hyphomicrobiales; Nitrobacteraceae.
GUACCGCAAGAAUAAGCCCCGGCUAACUUCGUGCCAGCAGCCGCGGUAAUACGAAGGGGGCUAGCGUUGCUCGGAAUCACUGGGCGUAAAGGGUGCGUAGGCGGGUCUUUAAGUCAGGGGUGAAAUCCUGGAGCUCAACUCCAGAACUGCCUUUGAUACUGAAGAUCUUGAGUUCGGGAGAGGUGAGUGGAACUGCGAGUGUAGAGGUGAAAUUCGUAGAUAUUCGCAAGAACACCAGUGGCGAAGGCGGCUCUCUGGCCCGAUACUGACGCUGAGGCACGAAAGCGUGGGGAGCAAACUGGAUUAGAUACCCUGGCAGUCCACGCCGUAAACGAUGAAUGCCAGCCGUUAG